AUACGAAGGGGGCUAGCGUUGUUCGGAAUUACAGGGCGUAAAGCGUACGUAGGCGGACUGAUCAGUUGGGGGUGAAAUCCCAGGGCUUAACCCUGGAACUGCCUUCAAUACUGUCAGUCUUGAGUUUGGGAGAGGUGAGUGGAAUUCCUAGUGUAGAGGUGAAAUUCAUAGAUAUUAGGAGGAACACCAGUGGCGAAGGCGGCUCACUGGCCCAUUACUGACGCUGAGGUACGAAAGCGUGGGGAGCAAACAGGAUUAGAAACCCCAGUAGUCC
Molecule: ribosomal RNA, 274 nt
Filed under: uncultured bacterium
Lineage: Bacteria
Description: partial 16S ribosomal RNA
Rfam family: Bacterial small subunit ribosomal RNA
Source: RNAcentral